UGGGGAAUAUUGCACAAUGGGGGAAACCCUGAUGCAGCCAUGCCGCGUGUGUGAAGAAGGCCUUCGGGUUGUAAAGCACUUUCAGUAGGGAGGAAAGGGUGAGUCUUAAUACGGCUCAUCUGUGACGUUACCUACAGAAGAAGGACCGGCUAACUCCGUGCCAGCAGCCGCGGUAAUACGGAGGGUCCGAGCGUUAAUCGGAAUUACUGGGCGUAAAGCGUGCGCAGGCGGUUUGUUAAGCGAGAUGUGAAAGCCCUGGGCUCAACCUAGGAAUAGCAUUUCGAACUGGCGAACUAGAGUCUUGUAGAGGGGGGUAGAAUUCCAGGUGUAGCGGUGAAAUGCGUAGAGAUCUGGAGGAAUACCGGUGGCGAAGGCGGCCCCCUGGACAAAGACUGACGCU
This 400-nucleotide ribosomal RNA is filed under the name uncultured bacterium. Its description in RNAcentral is "bacterial SSU rRNA". It matches the Rfam family "Bacterial small subunit ribosomal RNA", at positions 355 to 747 of the family's 1533-position model. The record is from RNAcentral.